This is a long non-coding RNA of Papaver somniferum (opium poppy), 371 nucleotides long. RefSeq lists it as uncharacterized. The record is from RefSeq and is a predicted model, not a curated record. Lineage: Eukaryota; Viridiplantae; Streptophyta; Magnoliopsida; Ranunculales; Papaveraceae. The transcript is spliced from 3 exons.
AUGACCCCGUAAAAUUCAAGCCACCACAAUCAUGUUUAUAUGGACGAAAAGAUAGUCAUGAUCUAGAUCAAGAAUGCUCAAAUGUUCCUAAGAAUGCUAAAUUUAUUAUGGAUGAAAACAUGGUUCAUUUUUUAGGGGAACAUGAAGGUUGAUGAAGGUUGGUUUAUUCGAGCGCUAAAAUUAAAAUAAGGUCUACAAUUUAAGAGUAAAUUUUCUGUGAGUAAAUUUCCGGUUGAUGAAGAUUUGGCUAAUCUGAUUUUCUUAAAGAUAUGGUGCAAGAAAUCUUUUUAUUUUUCUAUAAUAAAAUAUGAGUGCAAAAAUAUGAGUUUUACAUGGUUUUUAUAUUUAAUUGUCCACUUUAUUUUUUUGGU